This 354-nucleotide unclassified non-coding RNA is filed under the name soil metagenome. RNAcentral describes it as "partial contains 5.8S ribosomal RNA, internal transcribed spacer 2, and large subunit ribosomal RNA". The stretch from base 1 to 120 matches the Rfam family "5.8S ribosomal RNA", at positions 35 to 154 of the family's 154-position model. The record is from RNAcentral.
GAUGAAGAACGUAGCGAAACGCGAUAUGUAAUGUGAAUUGCAGAAUUCAGUGAAUCAUCGAAUCUUUGAACGCACAUGGCGCCUUCCAGUAUCCUGGGAGGCAUGCCUGUCCGAGCGUCGUUUCAACCCUCGAGCCCCCGUGGCCCGGCGUUGGGGAUCUGCCCAGGCAGUCCCCGAAAACCAGUGGCGGACCCGUUACAGGCCCUUCCCUUGCGUAGUAGCAUUCGCCUCGCAUCGGGAGCCGGCGGGCUUCCAGCCUCUAAACCCCCAUCAAGUCCGCCCCGACGGCACCAAGGUUGACCUCGGAUCAGGUAGGAAUACCCGCUGAACUUAAGCAUAUCAAUAAGCGGAGGA